This 497-nucleotide ribosomal RNA is filed under the name uncultured bacterium. Its description in RNAcentral is "partial 16S ribosomal RNA". It matches the Rfam family "Bacterial small subunit ribosomal RNA", at positions 28 to 507 of the family's 1533-position model. The record is from RNAcentral.
GAUGAACGCUGGCGGCGUGCCUAAUACAUGCAAGUCGAGCGAACGGACAAGGAGCUUGCUUCUCUGAUGUUAGCGGCGGACGGGUGAGUAACACGUGGAUAACCUACCUAUAAGACUGGGAUAACUUCGGGAAACCGUAGCUAAUACCGGAUAAUAUUUUGAACCGCAUGGUUCAAUAGUGAAAGACGGUCUUGCUGUCACUUAUAGAUGGAUCCGCGCUGCAUUAGCUAGUUGGUAAGGUAACGGCUUACCAAGGCAACGAUACAUAGCCGACCUGAGAGGGUGAUCGGCCACACUGGAACUGAGACACGGUCCAGACUCCUACGGGAGGCAGCAGUAGGGAAUCUUCCGCAAUGGGCGAAAGCCUGACGGAGCAACGCCGCGUGAGUGAUGAAGGUCUUCGGAUCGUAAAACUCUGUUAUUAGGGAAGAACAUAUGUGUAAGUAACUGUGCACGUCUUGACGGUACCUAAUCAGAAAGCCACGGCUAACUACGUG